CUCACCUGCCGAAUCAACUAGCCCUGAAAAUGGAUGGCGCUUGAGCGAGGGACCUAUACCCAGCCGUUGCUGGCUUGUGCGUUGUCUAGCGCCUGGCCGCAACGAGUAGGAGGGUCGUGGCGGUUGCGUCGAAGGCUUUGGGCGUAGGCCCAGCUGGAGCUUCCGUCAGUGCAGAUCUCGGUGGUAGUAGCAAAUAUUUAAGUUCGAUCCUUGAAGACUGAAGUGGAGAAGGGUUCCACGUGAACAGUAGUUGAAUGUGGGUCAGUCGAUCCUAAGAUACUGGCUUAUGCCUUGUAUCAUUGAGAGGGAAAAGUUUCUUUUCUCUCGGAUAUCAAAAGGGAAUAGGGUUAAUAUUCCCUAACGCAGACACAGAGAUUGCGGCUCUUUGAGUCGCYUGCGCGGUAACGCAUUCGAACUUGGUUACGUCGCUCAGAGACCGAGCUAGAGUUCUCUUCUCUAGUUAAGGAACGGACUCCCUGGAAUCGGUUCAGCCGUAGAUAGGGACGUUGUUUCCGUAAAGCAUCGCGGUUUCUGUGAUGUCUCGUGUUCUCUGGACGGCCCUUGAAAAACCAAGGAAGGCUAUUAAUCUGUGCUGCAUCGUACCGAUAUCCGCAUCAGGUCUCC
RNAcentral lists this ribosomal RNA (624 nucleotides) under Uncinaria stenocephala. RNAcentral's name for it is "eukaryotic LSU rRNA". It matches the Rfam family "Eukaryotic large subunit ribosomal RNA", at positions 1289 to 1869 of the family's 3401-position model. The record is from RNAcentral. Lineage: Eukaryota; Metazoa; Nematoda; Chromadorea; Rhabditida; Ancylostomatidae.